Ictalurus furcatus (blue catfish) is the source of this 10314-nucleotide RNA transcript. It is a transcript of the gene named host cell factor C1b, with no coding region annotated. The transcript has 28 exons. The record is from RefSeq and is a predicted model, not a curated record. NCBI's taxonomy places the organism in Eukaryota, Metazoa, Chordata, Actinopteri, Siluriformes, Ictaluridae.
GAAGACAGGUGUAACGGUGCUCUUCAUGUGGGAAACAAAACCGGAUAUUUGCACUCGUUUGACGUGCAGUAGGUGCUCCACAUCUGGAGAAUAAAUAGAUGCCGUUAGUUGAUUGUUGUGAGUGAAAUAGUUUGCGGAGGGAAGCGGAGCGCCGCUCACCGUCCGAGCUGCCGCACUGCCGGCGCUACUGAGGCACAAGCAGCCACGGCGCUUAUUUACUGAAGGGGCUUGUCAAGAAGAUGGCGGCUUCCUGGGCGGCAUGAAAGGAUGUAGAGUUAGCAACAUCUACAGAAAACAAACACACACUCGGGGUUGAAUUCGUUUAACUGAGUCUCUCCCUCGAUUUUUUCGGUUUUAAAAUAACAACUCGGAAGUCUCGAGUAAGUAUUUGUUCACGCUUCGAGAUUAGCGAGCGUGAAUACUUUUGCACCAUUCUGAUGACGGCUAACGGUACCGUCCGCCAUUUUUCUUAAGGGAAUGCUAGCUAGCGAUAAACGAGACAAACGAAUAUUUGAGGGAAUUGCAUAAAUGCCUCUCUUUCAUCAUGAAUAAAAACCCACUACAAAUGAAGCAUGUAAUAUUUCUCUGUCGUGCCGAAAAAAAUAUAUUUCUGCACAGCCUUUCUGCUAAAAAAAAGUAAGCUAUCGCCGUUUUAUGCUAACGCUAUAGCUUAGCUGUCGUACUAGCCAUAAAGCCUAGAACUACCUCAGCUAGUCUGCUAACGUGACUCGUUAGCUAUCUUAGCCUAAGCAAGUUAGCAUUCGCUGUGCUUGUAUUUUUACUUGUUUAACUCGCCGCGGUUGCAGUGUUUGGUUGGUAAUAAAUGUCAUUUUAGUUGGAAUUUUUGUAUAUUUAGCGACAUGUUUGCACCUUGUAGGGGGGGGGAAGAAAGCGCUUAGCUUUGUGCUAGGUGGAGGAGCAAAUGCGAUUAUUUGGUUUUGUUGUAUCAAGAUGGCGGCUCCCAUAGAAAAAGGCUGCAACUGAACACUCGGGGGCGAAAAAAAAAAGAUAAUAAAAUGCUCUACAAGAAAUUCGAGAAUAAAUAAAACAAUGAGUGUUUCUGCAGAGGUACUCAAUUAGGGUCUUCAACGUGCAGAAAAAUAUUUUCAAUUAAUUAAUCACUUAACUUUAACCCAAAAAUAUGGAAAUUGAAGGGUGUUUUUUUUUUUUUUUUGUUCACCGCCCAUUUUUAAUUCUAACGUUAGCUCUCAGUAACUUAACCAUAAAAUCAGCUAAGCCAUGUCCUUAUUAUUACCAUUUAUGUUACAUAAUGUGCACAUCUGUUAAAAUAAUAAUUAGCAAACAUACAUUGAAUUUAGCUAGUUUUUUAGAGGGCUUCUAUUUUUAUUCGUAUCUUGACGGUGGUUAGUUAGCUCGCUAGCUUAGCCUUUUAGCCAAUCGGCUAAGCAGCAUUAUUAUUCCCAUUAGCCACCGGGUUUGCUAACCAAAGCUACAAGAUGGCGGCACCCGAUGGGAAUUUGCACGGCUUUUCUCUCUCUUUCAGACAUCUUUAACAGACAAGAUGGGAACUUUAUUUUUCGGAUUAUCAACGGAAUGCGAGUGGAAAUGAUUUUGCAUGAGAUGCAUUAGCAUUUGCGGAAAUUUAAAAAACAAACACGGCCCUCAAAUUAAUCUUUUUUUUUGCUUCACCCGGCGGGCUUGUUUUAUUUUGUCGCAGAGCGUAUGCCGCUAAAAUGGCGGCUUCCAUCAGAUUCUAAGCUAAGCUAGCAUCUUAGCUGGCUACAUUUUGUACGGACUUAAAACGGCACUGUACUAAAAAAAACUUACACUUUACGAAUUUACACUUCGAUCACACUUUAAUUUAGAGUUUUUCCCUCGAGUUAAAUUUUUCUUAACGCUACAAUGGCGGGUUGUGUGGCUUUUUAGAUGAGCUACCAAAACGUAGCUGGCUACAUAUUUUUUUUGUGUGUGACGCGGCUAACGCGAAGCCUGAAGCUUUUAUUAUUAUUACUACAGUUUUAAAACUGCUCAAGCGGAGCAGUAAACUUGGAAUGGACUAGUUUUGUUGUUUUUUUUCCCUUUUUUUUUUUUUUAAAAAAAGAGAGAUUUUUCUUGCAUUAGGUAAACCAUGCGAUUAUUUCUAUCGUAUUAGGCUUUAUAUAUACGUCCUAUAUUUUGUUAUUUUUACCUGUACAUGCUAAUCCAGUCGAAAGAAUUAGCCCCUGCUUUGGCAAAAAAAACGGUUGCUAGAUAUUUAUAUAGAGAAAAAUAGAUAUAAAUAUCUAAAUUUAGUUAGUUAGGAGUAACUUCCAAAGUGAUAGUUUAGCCUGGCCUGUGUAUACGCGCGUUGUUUAAUUUUCUUAGUGAAAUAGAUAAAUAUAUUUUUACUCGCCGCCUUUUUUGGCGCUAGCUAGCGAGCUAGUUAGCAUGCUAGCUCGCAUACUUAGCCAUCUAACAUGCCUUCAUUUUUUGUUUUGUUUUCAUUUGUGAAUUUUAUUGAAUGGUGUUUUCUUUUCAUUUUGUGAAGGGGGAAAUGGCUUCUUCUGGUACCAACACCACAUCGAGCGCUUCGGGCUCCGUGUUGCAGCCGAGGUGGAAGCGGGUGCUCGGAUGGUCCGGCCCAGUACCUCGGCCUCGUCACGGCCACCGCGCCGUCGCCAUUAAAGAGCUGAUGGUGGUUUUCGGCGGCGGCAACGAAGGAAUCGUGGACGAACUUCAUGUAUACAACACAGCAACUAAUCAGUGGUUUAUCCCGGCUGUCCGGGGCGACGUGCCACCCGGCUGUGCUGCAUAUGGAUUUGUGUGUGACGGCACCCGCCUGUUGGUGUUCGGGGGAAUGGUCGAAUAUGGAAAGUACAGCAACGAUCUUUAUGAACUACAGGCCAGUAGAUGGGAGUGGAAACGGCUGAAGCCUAAAGCUCCAAAGAAUGGCCCUCCUCCUUGUCCACGCCUGGGCCACAGCUUCUCCCUCGUGGGGAAUAAAUGCUACCUAUUCGGCGGACUUGCCAACGACAGCGAAGAUCCCAAAAACAAUAUUCCAAGAUACCUGAAUGACCUGUACACACUCGAGCUGCGUCCGGGCUCCAGCGUGGCAGGCUGGGACAUCCCCAUCACAUACGGCGUGCUUCCUCCUCCUCGCGAGAGCCACACAGCCGUAGUGUACACAGAGAAAACCUCAAAGAAGUCUCGCCUCGUUAUCUACGGAGGCAUGAGUGGCUGCCGCCUCGGAGACCUUUGGACGUUAGAUAUAGACACACUGACUUGGAACAAGCCGGCAAUCAGUGGCACUGCUCCGCUCCCUCGCAGUCUCCACUCUGCCACCACCAUAACCAACAAGAUGUACGUGUUUGGCGGUUGGGUGCCCUUGGUGAUGGAUGACGUGAAAGUGGCUACACAUGAAAAGGAAUGGAAGUGUACAAACACACUGGCAUGCCUAAAUCUGGACACAAUGACAUGGGAGACUAUUUUAAUGGACACUCUGGAAGACAACAUCCCGAGAGCCAGGGCAGGACAUUGCUCCGUAGCCAUCAACUCCCGACUGUAUGUUUGGAGUGGCAGAGACGGCUACCGCAAAGCCUGGAACAACCAAGUGUGCUGCAAAGACCUCUGGUAUUUGGAGACAGACCGUCCUCUGGCGCCCUCUCGCGUGCAGUUGGUUCGUGCCAAUACAAGUUCUCUGGAGGUGAGCUGGGGCGCUGUGCCCACCGCUGAUGCCUACCUGCUGCAGCUGCAGAAAUACGAAAUUCCAGCAGCGACGACGGCCUCAUCCCCCAGCGUCACUCCCACUUCCUCGCUGCCCUCCAACUCACCCAAGAGCCCGGCCCCAGCCGCUGCGGCCCCUGCCUCUCAGAGCGUGCCCGUCACAGGGGUAACCCUCAUACCCCAGGUGCCCUCACCAACUGCGUCCAUGCCUGUGAGCCCGCUCGCUGCAGCCUCACCGCGCGGUCCAGCCAUCCUGAAAGUGGCAGCACCUCAGUCCGCUGCUGGGACUUCUAUUGUCACCGUGCGUCAGGCCAAUCAAGUGGGAAAAUCCCCGGUUACAGUUGCAUCACUUCCUGCUGGAGUCCGAAUGGUCGUUCCUGCACAGAGCGCACAAGGAACACCGAUCGGGAGCAGCCCUCAGAUGAGUGGCAUGGCCGCUCUGGCUGCAGCGGCGGCUGCCACACAGAAAAUCCCUCCUUCGUCAUCAGCCACUAUGCUGAAUGUUCCAGCAGGAGCCACCAUCGUGAAAACUGUUGCUGUCACUCCAGGCUCCGCAGCUCUUCCUGCUACAGUGAAAGUAGCCUCGCCAGUGACGGUGAGCAACCCAGCCACCCGCAUGCUAAAGACUGCUGCAGCUCAAGCUGGAACUUCUACCAUCACGACCCCUAACACGCCAACACGUCCCAUCAUCACCGUGCACAAAUCGGGCACGGUGACUGUGGCCCAGCAGGCUCAGGUGGUCACCACUGUGGUUGGAGGAGUCACUAAAACCAUCACGCUUGUCAAGAGCCCACUCACUGUGGGCAGCGGCGGCACUCUGAUCUCAAGCCUUGGGAAGGUGAUGUCCAUGGUCCAGACAAAACCAGUACAGACCGCUGCCGUGACAGGCCAGGCUGGCAGCCCUGUCACACAGAUCAUUCAGACGAAGGGUCCUCUGCCUGCAGGCACCAUACUGAAGCUAGUCACCUCAGCAGACGGCAAACCCACUACCAUCAUCACUACCACACAGGGGGGUGGUACUGGCACAAAACCAACCAUUCUGGGCAUCUCCCCUACCACCACUAACAAGCCUGGCACCACCAUCAUCAAGACCAUACCGAUGUCUGCCAUUCAGCAGGGAGCUGCAGGUUUGUCUUACCGCAAGUUCGGUGCUACCAGUAGCACAGGUAUAAAGUCUCCUAUCACGAUCAUUACGACCAAAAUGAUGACGCCUGGAACACCAGGAAAAAUAAUCACAGCAGUACCAAAACUGGCUACUGGAACUGCACAGCAGGGAGUGACUCAGGUGGUCCUGAAGGGGGCGCCAGGGCAGCCUGGCACCAUUCUUCGCACUGUGCCCAUGGGCGGUGUGCGUCUCGUUUCUCCUGGUACCGUUUCUGCUGUCAAGCCCACAGUUACCACACUAGUAGUUAAAGGCACCACAGGAGUAACUACUCUCGGCACUGUGACCGGAACAAUCUCAACCAGCCUGGCAGGGGGCAAUGUUCCCACUGCUAAUGCUAGCCUGGCUACUCCCAUAACCACCCUGGGCACCAUCGCCACACUCUCCAGCCAGGUGAUCAGCCCUACAGCUAUCACUGUGUCUGCAGCCCAGACAAACCUGACUACUGCACCUACAGUGGCUAUACAGGCAGCUACACAGCCCACUCAGGUGACGCUGAUAAGCACCCCCAGUGGUGUUGAGGCCCAGCAGGACCUCCCCGUGUCCAUCCUGGCCUCUCCCACCUCUGAGCAGCCCUCCACCACAGGUGCUGAAGCAGGCGACACCCCAGGUGAAGUGACUCUGGUCUGCUCCAACCCACCGUGCGAGACCCACGAAACCGGUACCACCAACACGGCCACCACAGCUUCCGCCAAGAUCGGAACCGAGCGCGUGUGCUCUAACCCACCUUGCGAGACACACGUGACCGGAACAACCAACACGACAACCACGGCAUCAUCCGACAUGGGCCGUGUGCAGCAAGUAUGCAGCAACCCGCCGUGCGAAACACAUGAAACGGGCACUACAAACACAUCUACGCAGGCGUCCUCCAACAUGGGCAGUGCAGAGACCAACACGGUACAGAGAGUGUGUUCUAACCCGCCAUGUGAGACCCAUGAAACCGGCACCACCAACACCGCUACGCAGGCAUCUUCGAGUAUGGGCAGUGGGGAGACUAACACUGUACAGAGAGUGUGUUCCAACCCACCUCAUGAAACCCACGAAACGGGUACCACCAACACCGCUACGCAGGCAUCUUUGAGUAUGGGCAGUGGGGAGACUAACACUGUACAGAGAGUGUGUUCCAACCCACCUCAUGAAACCCACGAAACGGGUACCACCAACACCGCUACACAGGCAUCUUCGAGUAUGGGCAGUGGGGAGACCAACACGGUACAGAGAGUGUGUUCCAACCCACCAUGUGAGACCCACGAAACCGGCACCACUAAUACACCUACACAGGCUUCAUCCACCAUCGGAUCAGGGCAGAAUGGCACGGUGCAGAGAGUGUGUUCCAACCCACCAUGUGAGACUCAUGAGACCGGCACCACCAACACGGCUACUACCGCCACCAGCAGCCUCGAGUCAGCCGAAGGAACAGCGCAACAGAGUGGUAACGGACAAGACGCUGGCACCAGUGCAGAGGCAACUUCGUCGACAGAACCUGCCAAUCCCCCGAUUCAGAGCAGAGCCAUCACCACAGUGACUCAGGCCACGCCCACCCCAGGACCCUCCGUUCCGGAAAUCUCAUCCAUGGCAGGCUCCGUUGCUGUAGUGGAGGGCUCUGGUGAAGCUGAGGCAAUGGAGCAGGGAGACUCUGAGGCAGUAGCGAUGGGUGAGGAGCCCAUGCAAACCGAGGGCGAACUGGGUGAAGACGGAGCUGUCCGAGUCGUUGCUAUUGAGGAGGGUGCUGCCGGUGAGGCGGGCACCAUGCUGCAGGUUCAUGUUGCCAUGGAAGCACAGCCGGGUCAGGGAGAGCAAGCUGAGAUGGAGCAGGGCGGUGAGGGCGCGGAGGCCGUAGCUCUGGCAGGGCAAGACUCCGAGGCCUUGGCGCUGCCUCAGGAACUGAUGUCAGCUGAGGGGCAGCAGACCACGCUGAUGGUGACAGGACUGACCCCGGAGGAACUGGCUGUCACUGCUGCAGCAGAAGCUGCUGCUCAGGCUGCAGCCACAGAAGAGGCCCAGGCGCUCGCCAUACAGGCCGUGCUACAGGCAGCCCAACAGGCCGUGCUCAAUGAAGGAGACUCUGGACAGGACGGUCAGCAGACCACCACCAUUCCCAUCGUACUGACGCAACAGGAACUGGCUGCUCUGGUCCACCAACAGCAGCAACUCCAGGAGGCUCAAGCAGCUGCUGCAGCUGCAGCAGCCGCUGCCCAGCAGCUGGCGGCCGAUUCUGGCACAGCGACUUUACCCACCGAGGGCCUGGCACCCGCAGACAGCCUCAACGACCCCAUGACCGAGAGCAACGGCCAUGAGAUGGCCGCCGCAGCAGUAACCGCAGCUGUGGCUCAGCUUCUCCCCAGCACUUCUGCAGAGACUUUGGCUCCAUCGAGUACACUUGCCCCGUCCCAACCCAUGGUGGUUGCCAGCCCUGCAAAGAUACAGGCCGCCACUACGCUUGCUGAGGUGGCCAAUGGCAUUGAGUCUGCAGCUGGGAAGCCAGGAGUGCCCCCUGCAGUCGUGAAACCGCCAGUGAAGAAAGAAAAUCAGUGGUUUGAUGUCGGAAUCGUCAAGGUGACCAACACGGUCGUCACACACUAUUACGUCCCAGCAGACGAUUCAGAGGUUACUGAUGAUGAUUCUGGGGCCAUACCAGACUACAGUCAAAUGAAGAAAGUGGAGCUCUCUCCCGGCACCGCGUACAAGUUCCGUGUGGCCGGAAUCAACGCUUGUGGCCGUGGAACGUUUUCUGAAGUUUCGGCGUUCAAGACCUGCUUGCCUGGCUUCCCAGGAGCACCGUGUGCCAUUAAAAUCAGCAAGAGCCCUGAUGGUGCUCACCUCACCUGGGAACCUCCGUCUGUGACGUCAGGGAAGAUCAUAGAGUACUCCGUCUACCUGGCCAUCCAGAGCUCUCAGACGACCGAGGCAAAAGCAUCUGCCCCGGCUCAGCUGGCCUUCAUGCGGGUGUACUGUGGCCCAAAUCCCUCCUGCCUAGUCCAGACCUCCAGCCUGUCCAACGCCCACAUCGACUACACCACCAAACCAGCCAUCAUCUUCCGCAUUGCCGCUCGCAACGAGAAGGGCUACGGCCCUGCUACGCAAGUCAGGUGGCUACAAGAAACCAGUAAAGAUGGAUCUGCUGCCAAACCUGCAGCGAAGAGACCGGUCUCAUCUCCUGAUACAAGCAGCCGUAGUCCCAGCAAUCUGGAAUUGGAAUAGAUGAGAGCUCCAUCCAGAGGUAGGACAUCCGAAACGGAUCAGGCAUGUCCGGAGAGCAGAAAGGAUCGGGAUCUCUAGUAUCUCCAUAAAAUCGUGUCUGGCUCGACAGAAGGAGAGAGGGAGAGAAAAGAUUAUUAGGACUGUGCUUAAGGAAAGGUACCGGUCCAAAAAAGGCCAGAGCCGACCAGUGAGAGAUUUUGAUGUGCCCCUCCCCCUUUGAGACCAAGACCCCUGACCGAAAUCCUUCCUGCUGAAUGCCCUCCCCAGCCUUAUUAAACCCACAUCCCCCUACCACUUCCAACUUAACAUGAAAUGACAGCGGGGGGGGGGAAAAAAAGGAGAAAGAUCAAGAUAAUCUGUUUGUGCCCUACCCCAAUCAUCACUGGACAUCCUGGUGCCAUGGACGCCUUAUCGCUUCGACUGUGUUAAAAUGAAACCGUAUUAUAAAUGUUUCUUCACACAAACAGUUAAAAGCACAUUCUUUUUGCUUUGUCCUGGAAGUUUCGUGUGAUAAAUUUCCAAUGGCAGCAUUCAGUCAAGUUAACUGUCUUGUUUUUCUGUAGUUCGUUUUUUUUUUUUCCUCCUUCCUUCAUGUUCUUUUAUUUUAUCUUACAAGCAAUAGAUAAAAAAACAAAAACAAAACAAAAACACAACUUUUGCUCUUCAGCCAGUUUUUUUUAUUUUUUAUUUUCAAGUCUGUAUAUUUCAGUUGGACACAGACAGACGUUUGAUGGUAACUGAAGAGGGAGAAAUCCGACAAUGAAGCUACACCUGGAAAUCCAUUGAAGGAUGGAUGGAUGGAUGGAUGGAUGGAUGGGAGGGGGGGGGGAAAGCAACAACACAGCACUUGGUGAUGCUUCUGAAGACAAAAAACUUUUUCAUUUUAAGACAUCUGUAAUUGUAUAUUCAAUCCGAGUCCAGUAGCCUGUUAUUACAUCACUGUGUUUUUUCAUUCAUAGCGAAGAGGGAAUUGGAGAACUGUAUUUUGUAACGAAGCUAUAAGGACUCCGAUCCUUGUAGAGGGGGAGGCGUAUGCCUUUUUUUUUUUGUUUUUUUUUUUUUUUAAAUUGCAUUGAAAUGCAUCUUGUAUAAAGAAGGGGAGGGGGGGAUCCCAUAAAUAGUAAGAAGUGAUGCAGAAGCUCGCUGUGUGUGGUUUAUUUUUGUAUUUUUUUCUUCUUUUUUUUAAGCAGAGAAAAAUGUUCCCUUUAUUGUGUACGUGUGCAUUUGCUCCGUUUUAAAAACGCGUUUCCUGCUCAUUCCUAUAGUCCGAGUGUCACGUGGGAUCCCGUGGCCGAUUGUCCUGUGUGCCACGGAAUUUUCUCCAUCCCACCUUUAAGGAAUAUUUCAAAAUGAUGAUUCAGAAAUUAAAGAUUGACGUGAACUUUUUCUACUCACUUUGGAGAAAGACUAUCCAUUUAAACCAUGCUUUAGCAUACUGAACAUAGGUUUUUCAUUCUUUGUUUCUUUAUGCAUUUUUUUUUUUUCUUCCCCUUCCAACUUGUAUAUUGUUGAUCAUUUAAAGGAGUGUGUUGCUGGAAGGCUGUUUGUUCUUUUUGUUUUUUUCUCUACCUGUUAACCUUUUCACUAGUCCAUAGUUUAUGUAAACUUUGCUUUUUAAAAAAAAAAAAAAAUUUUUUUUAAAAGCAUUUGUGGAAUUUUUUUUUUUCUUUUCCCCCCUCCCAUGCUUGUUUGUGAGCUGGUUUAGAAGUAAAAAGCAAACUUGGGAUUCUUCUCAUCGUGGGGAAAAUGUCGCAAGCAUUUUCAUUCAUCUUGGGACGGUUGACUUUUAUUUUUCUCCCUCCUUUUUUUUUUUUUUUUUUUUUUUUUUUUUUUUGGCAGAUGGUUUCGGCGUGCAGGGUACAGAUGGAUUACCAGUGUCGGAUUGAGAGUGCUGAUACGGGAUGAGUUUUUGUUCAUUGUGUUCAGUUGGAUAGCUCAAUUCCGAUCCUGGACCAGCAUACUCGCUCUGAAACGUGAUUUUGCAUUACGACCCCCCAGUUUCUAGAAUGAUGUUUGACUGACUGAAAAGUGCACCGAUAAUGUGUCUGAAUGGGGAAAUGGAGAGAAAAAAAACAAAACAUUGGUUUGCUUUUCUGACAAUUUUGUGGGAAAAUAAUGGAUUAUUGGCACAGCCAGCGGUUGAACUCAGUUGUAAAUUAGUUCUUUCACGUAGCAAGAAGUAAAACAAAACUCCGCCUUUUUAUAUAAUUAUCUGUAACAAAUGUUUUUACAUGUUGUCAUCUAUUGAUUGCUUUUGUGUCUUGACAUAUAAAAGUAAUGGAAAUCUG